Molecule: ribosomal RNA, 497 nt
Filed under: uncultured bacterium
Lineage: Bacteria
Description: partial 16S ribosomal RNA
Rfam family: Bacterial small subunit ribosomal RNA
Source: RNAcentral
GAUGAACGCUGGCGGCGUGCCUAUUACAUGCAAGUCGAGCGAACGGACGAGAAGCUUGCUUCUCUGAUGUUAGCGGCGGACGGGUGAGUAACACGUGGAUAACCUACCUAUAAGACUGGGAUAACUUCGGGAAACCGGAGCUAAUACCGGAUAAUAUUUUGAACCGCAUGGUUCAAAAGUGAAAGACGGUCUUGCUGUCACUUAUAGAUGGAUCCGCGCUGCAUUAGCUAGUUGAUAAGGUAACGGCUUACCAAGGCAACGAUGCAUAGCCGACCUGAGAGGGUGAUCGGCCACACUGGAACUGAGACACGGUCCAGACUCCUACGGGAGGCAGCAGUAGGGAAUCUUCCGCAAUGGGCGAAAGCCUGACGGAGCAACGCCGCGUGAGUGAUGAAGGUCUUCGGAUCGUAAAACUCUGUUAUUAGGGAAGAACAUAUGUGUAAGUAACUGUGCACAUCUUGACGGUACCUAAUCAGAAAGCCACGGCUAACUACGUG